Molecule: long non-coding RNA, 398 nt
Filed under: Vitis vinifera (wine grape)
Lineage: Eukaryota; Viridiplantae; Streptophyta; Magnoliopsida; Vitales; Vitaceae
Description: long non-coding RNA (VVIN_LNC007308)
Source: RNAcentral
UUAUCUCCUGGUAAAUAGCAAAUAGCAAGCAUCCACAAAUAUAAAGUUUUGAACGACAAAUGGAUUAGAAUUACAUCCACAAAAGAUACGAAAUUCUUUAUCAUUUGAUUGUACUUACAUCCCAAACUGUAUGUAAUCGAUUGCAGUGGUUGGUGUUGUCACCUAUCCGUCUUGUGCAAUUGUAAACACGCAACUGUGGCUCCAUGAUAUCAGUAUUAUGCACUCGCAUGACGCCUAUAGGCACCUGAACUCAGUCUAUGCUGCUUAAUUCUUGCUUUGACGAGUCUGCAGAUGUAUAUUGCUAAAGGCAUUAUGAUGGAGAGCGCAAUGAAGGUGUGUCUUAUGGGCCCUUGUGGGGCAAGUGUGAUCAUUGCACUGCCAUUGGUAACCCCCAUUGC